RNAcentral lists this small nuclear RNA (159 nucleotides) under Rhodnius prolixus. RNAcentral's name for it is "U4 spliceosomal RNA". It matches the Rfam family "U4 spliceosomal RNA". Rfam says of the family: U4 small nuclear RNA (U4 snRNA) is a component of the major U2-dependent spliceosome. The record is from Rfam by way of RNAcentral. Lineage: Eukaryota; Metazoa; Arthropoda; Insecta; Hemiptera; Reduviidae.
AACCUUGUGCUGUGGCAAUAUCAUAACCAAUGAAAGCAUCCUAAGGUGCGAAUAUUGCUAGUUGGAAAUUCUUUCGCUUGGUCAUUGACUGUAUCGACCAAGUGGUUUCUACCAUUAUCGUAUUUAGAACUUAGUAAUUUGUUAAAAUAAAUAUAUAUU